Molecule: ribosomal RNA, 497 nt
Filed under: uncultured bacterium
Lineage: Bacteria
Description: partial 16S ribosomal RNA
Rfam family: Bacterial small subunit ribosomal RNA
Source: RNAcentral
GAUGAACGCUGGCGGCGUGCCUAAUACAUGCAAGUCGAGCGAACGGACGAGAAGCUUGCUUUUCUGAUGUUAGCGGCGGACGGGUGAGUAACACGUGGAUAACCUACCUAUAAGACUGGGAUAACUUCGGGAAACCGGAGCUAAUACCGGAUAAUAUUUUGAACCGCAUGGUUCAAAAGUGAAAGACGGUCUUGCUGUCACUUAUAGAUGGAUCCGCGCUGCAUUAGCUAGUUGGUAAGGUAACGGCUUACCAAGGCAACGAUGCAUAGCCGACCUGAGAGGGUGAUCGGCCACACUGGAACUGAGACACGGUCCAGACUCCUACGGGAGGCAGCAGUAGGGAAUCUUCCGCAAAGGGCGAAAGCCUGACGGAGCAACGCCGCGUGAGUGAUGAAGGUCUUCGGAUCGUAAAACUCUGUUAUUAGGGAAGAACAUAUGUGUAAGUAACUGUGCACAUCUUGACGGUACCUAAUCAGAAGGCCACGGCUAACUACGUG